Molecule: long non-coding RNA, 1316 nt
Filed under: Homo sapiens (human)
Lineage: Eukaryota; Metazoa; Chordata; Mammalia; Primates; Hominidae
Description: HSALNT0091691
Source: RNAcentral
AGUUUUUUGAGGAACCAUUUUACUGUUUUCCAUAAUGGCUGAACUAAUUGACGUUCCCACCAACAGUGUAAGAGUUCCCCUUUCUCCUCAUCCUGCUAGCAUUUAUUAUUUUUUGUCCUUUUGAUAAUAACCAUUCUAACUGGGUGAGAUUACACCUCAUUGUGAUUUUAUCUUUUUCUAUUAAAAAAAGGCUAGAUACUAAAUAUUUUAGGCUUUGUGAGCCAUAUGGUCUCUUUCACAACUACUCAUCUCUACCGCUGAAGUGUGAAAGCAGCAAGACAAUAUGUAAACAAAUGAGCGUGGCUAUGUUCCAAUAUAGCUUUGUUUACAAAAAUGCAGGAUUUGCCUUGUGGGCCAUAGUUUGCUCAAUGCUGGGCUAGAAUAGUUUGCAACCUUGCCGCAAAUUGGAAUCACCUGAGGAUGUUUAAAAACUAUUAUUGCCUGGCUCCUACCCCAGGCUGCAGGAGUUUUAAAGCUUCCCAGCCUGUAAUCCCAGAACUUUGGGAGGCUGAGGCAGGCAGAUCACCUGAGGUCAGGAGUUUAAGACUAGCCUGGCCAACAUGGUGAAACCCCGUCUCUACUAAAAAUACAAAAAUUAGCCGGGCGUGGUGGCGCGUGCCUGUAAUCCCAGCUACUCGGGAGACUGAGGCAGAAGAAUCCCUUGAACUAGGAGGCAGAGGUUGCAGUGAGCUGAGAUCACGCCACUGCACUCCAGCCUGGGUGACAGAAAAAAAGGCUCAAAAAAAAAAAAAAAAAAAGCUUCCCAGGUGAUUCUAAUGUGCAGCAAAAUCUGGGAACCACUAGUCUGGAACCUUGUUAUUCAAACUACCAUCCUCAGGAAAGAAGCAUCCAUAUCGACUAGGAGCUUUAUCUUGUUUUGGUUUUUGUUUUUUAAUGGAUUUUGUAUUCUUUCUACUGUUUGUGGUUUUUCAAUUUAUUAGACCCAGGAGAUCCUCGUAAAAACUACUAGAAUGGAUGGAAUUUGUUAAAUGGCUGCAUAUACAAAAAUAAAAGGUCAGGCUGGAAAAUACUUUACAUUUUAAUGAGAGGUAUACAAACCUAGAUUUUUAAAACUAUAAACUUCUAUUGAAGUAUAUAAACAAAAUAUGAAUAUGCAAUGACAGCAUGUUCUUGGAUGGGAAGAUCUAAUCUCAAAAUAUCACUUCCCCAAAAUUAAUGUAUAAAUUUUGUGCAAUCCUGAUUUUAUUCCAGAAAAGAGAUAUUUUUAUUUGAUUUUUUAAAUUGAAUGAAAUGGUCUGAUAGUUUUUAUGGAAAAAAUAAUGUCUGAAAUAAGUAAUAAAAUUAUGGGAAAAUAA